Molecule: long non-coding RNA, 674 nt
Filed under: Homo sapiens (human)
Lineage: Eukaryota; Metazoa; Chordata; Mammalia; Primates; Hominidae
Description: long intergenic non-protein coding RNA 470
Source: RNAcentral
CUGGAACAUCAGCUGUUCUCUAGGUCUUAAGUCUGCUGCUCUAACCUACAAAUUUUGGACAUGCCAAUCUCCACAGUCACAUGGGCCAAUUCCUUAGUUUCUCUGGAGAAUCCUGACUAAUGUAUGCAAUGUCUUUAUUUCAUCCUCAUUCUUAAAGGAUAUUUUCAUCAGCAACACCACACCCUCCUGAUCACCAUAGCUUUAUGCAACAACAAGAAACAAAUUUAUUAGCUAACCUAACCACUAAUGACGCAAGAGACAAUUCUAAGGACUUUCAAAACAGCAAAGUAGGAGCAGCUGCUACCUCUAGGGAUGAGGGAUGCAAUUGUCCAAUUAUUGGUGAAAUUGUCAUUUCAUGCUAUUGGCUAUUUGAAAUUCCUCCUCUAAUUUCAGAAUAAAUCACUGAAAUUGACAUCGGCCAGUCUGAAUUUCAAGAAAUUACCUGCUGAAGACAAGAGGGAUCUCUUCUUCAGAUUUGCAGUCUGGGGAAGACACAGCCUCUACUGUACUUUAGAACCUGAGAUAUGGUGGUGGAGGGAGCCCUGGGUCGAGUGGUAAGAUUCACCCUUAGGUUAGUAUUGACGUAAGGUGACGAGGAGCUGUAGACAAAAGAUUGUAACCAUAAGAACUUCAUAGUUUUUGUAUUUUCACCGAGCUUAUAUUUGGUGUGUUUU